UCUGUGCCCCUCAACAAUAAUAUUUAACUAUUAAUCACAGUUUUGCUAAAUAAAAGGAUCUGGCUUGCAUCAGUCACAUGAUCACCAUUAACCAAUGAUCGCCCUUGACGGCAGAACGCGCUGGUUACGAGCCGGGAACGAGCUCACAAAGAGCACGCGCAUUUUUUGCGGUCCGGAGCUGUAGGAGAAACACAAAUUACCUCAGACACACAGACUGAUGCGACAAAACCAACAUGGCUGGUAAGGACAUGAGGAGGAAACAGUAGGAGCUGUGUGAGGCUACUAAAGGCAGUGAAUCCCUCAGCAGCUGGAUUACAAAGAGCACAGUCUCAGAUCAACACAGCCCUGCCC
This is a long non-coding RNA of Pelmatolapia mariae (spotted tilapia), 351 nucleotides long. RefSeq lists it as uncharacterized. NCBI's taxonomy places the organism in Eukaryota, Metazoa, Chordata, Actinopteri, Cichliformes, Cichlidae. The transcript is spliced from 3 exons. The record is from RefSeq and is a predicted model, not a curated record.